UGGGGGAUCGUCUAAAGGCAGGACGGCAGACUCUGAAUCUGCCUAUCUAGGUUCGAAUCCUAGUCCCCCAG
Molecule: transfer RNA, 71 nt
Filed under: Deltaproteobacteria bacterium
Lineage: Bacteria; Pseudomonadati; Myxococcota; Myxococcia
Description: tRNA-Gln
Rfam family: tRNA
About the family: Transfer RNA (tRNA) molecules are approximately 80 nucleotides in length.
Source: RNAcentral